GCCCCGGUAGCUCAGUUGGUUCAUUACAGCGAUUCAGAGCGUUAGGCUUUUAACCUAAUGGCCGCGGGUUCGAGCCCCGCCCGGGGUG
Molecule: non-coding RNA, 88 nt
Organism: Gracilariopsis chorda
Lineage: Eukaryota; Rhodophyta; Florideophyceae; Gracilariales; Gracilariaceae
Source: the annotation of a GenBank genome assembly